GUUCUGGAUCCGCCGGGCCUGAACUCUAGGGUUCAAAACACUGGUUUGACACCGUUGUGAAUCUGAUUGAGAAGAAAAUCGUACAUGGACACAAUUUAAAAAGUGUUUUUUGUUCGAUCUAGGCAUUCUUUACCUCUGCACACGGGGCUGGGUGUUCAGUAAGCAUCGAUCACGAUAGGGAGGUUCGUUCUGUUAGUCUAUUCACAUUAAACACACAUGCACACACUACUGCGGCGAACAGAAAGUGGAUUGGGGAUGUGGUCAUAUGUAGAAAGUUCAACAUUGUUUUGUUUUGUUCUUUUAGACCAAAAAGUGUUACAAUCACACCUCCACCUCAAAUAAGAUGAUUCAAAAAUAUAUAAAAACAAAGACGUUUUCUUGUUUGCACAUGUUCUCUUCCCAAAGGUUUUCUAUUGAUUUGCAUCUGUGUUUUUGUUUUUAAAAUUCUUUUCAGGAGCCUGUUUCAGUAACGCGUCCCUGUGACCCCGGACCAUAAGAGUAUUUUAUUUAAAAAUGAAGACUGAUGCUUCGUAAAGCUAAAUAAAUGCGCUUUUCAUUGAUGCAUGCUUUGACAGGAUAACAUUUGGCCAAGAUACAACUAUUUGAAUAUCUAGAAUCUGAGGGUUUUUUGAGAAAAUCGCCUUUAAAGUUGCCCUGAUCAUGCUUGUAAUAAUGCGCAUAAGUUUUACUUUAUCUUCAUGGAACAAGAUAUUUAUAUAUAUUUUAUCAUUUUGACCCAUAUAAUGUACUCGCUACAUGCUACUUAUGACUGGUUUUGUGUUCCAGGAUCGCAUAUGCUUUGUUUCAGCAUUUAUAUGGUGCAGACGGCAUUUCAAAUAACCUCAUAUUUUGCUGAACAGUGUGCAUUUUCUUAAUUGCACGUCUUCGUGAUUAUAACCUAAAGCGAAAAAGACAAUAACUUGCCCUGUGUCUGCAUCGUUCUUUUCUUUUGCUUUGCUUGACAUGUAUUGUCGGUUCUUUCGUUCAACACUAAGGUCAGACUCGGACCGUGUCGAGUUGCUCAGACGAGCAACAAACUCUUUUAAUAACUUCGCAGAAGAAACCGAUUAAUUUCUGUCAGAAGAAUUUCUUAUUUACUUAAAAGCGACUCAUGUGUGAGCCAUUGAUUGCACCGAAUGGAUGUCACAUGUUGAAUGUUGAAGUCCGAUCCAGAACAUGAAGUCUUCGCUUCUGCUGUGCAUCUCAAUGCAUCUUCAUUUAAAGACAGUUAACUUACAAAAACGAAGGUACACUUCCGCCCCACGGACAAUUGCACAUGCAGUACACACAAUGUCAAAAACGUGGAAUCUUCACAGUAAAAUAAGCAGUGUAAAAAUGCAGUGUUAAAUGUUAUUAAUUCUAAAAGAGUUAAAUUAAUAACCAACAGUGUUAAUAAUGUUCUUUUGUAGUGUAGUUGCAGGGGUGCUACGUGGUGUAAUUAUAUUUUUACACCUGAAGUGCAAAACCCCCGCCAAGUUAUCUUUGCCCCUCCCCUUUUACCCGUCGUGAAGACGAAAACGCCAUUUUAUCCACAUGCCAGCUGCAAGGAAUGAAGAUGCUCGUCAAAGUUAAGUUCAGAAGUGAACAGAAGUAUGUGAAAGUUUCUCACAGCGAUUUGAAACUUUCCGAUUUUCUGGAUGAAGCCUUAGUGAAGUUCGGCAUCAGUGUCUCUAGUAGGCCCGAGGCCCGUCUUUACGACGAGUCUGGCACUGAAAUAGACGAGGAC
Long non-coding RNA from Puntigrus tetrazona (Sumatra barb), 1726 nucleotides. RefSeq lists it as uncharacterized. The record is from RefSeq and is a predicted model, not a curated record. Lineage: Eukaryota; Metazoa; Chordata; Actinopteri; Cypriniformes; Cyprinidae. The transcript has 3 exons.